AACGCACCUUGCGCUCCUUGGUAUUCCGAGGAGCAUGCCUGUUUGAGUGUCAUUAAUAUAUCAACUUCUUCAGCUUUUGCUUGUUGAGUGUUGGAUGUGGGGGCCUUUUUUGCUGGUCUUUCUAAGGUCAGCUCCCCUGAAAUGCAUUAGCGGAACAAUUUGUGGACCGUUCAUUGGUGUGAUAACUAUCUACGCUAUUGACGUGAAGCAGUUCAGCUUCUAACAGUCCAUUGACUUGGACAAAUUUUCAUUAAUGUGACCUCAAAUCAGGUAGGACUACCCGCUGAACUUAA
RNAcentral lists this unclassified non-coding RNA (293 nucleotides) under uncultured Cortinarius. Its description in RNAcentral is "sequence contains ITS2". The stretch from base 1 to 52 matches the Rfam family "5.8S ribosomal RNA", at positions 103 to 154 of the family's 154-position model. Lineage: Eukaryota; Fungi; Basidiomycota; Agaricomycetes; Agaricales; Cortinariaceae. The record is from RNAcentral.